RNAcentral lists this ribosomal RNA (482 nucleotides) under uncultured bacterium. Its description in RNAcentral is "SSU rRNA". It matches the Rfam family "Bacterial small subunit ribosomal RNA", at positions 26 to 518 of the family's 1533-position model. The record is from RNAcentral.
AGGACGAACGCUGGCGGCGUGCUUAACACAUGCAAGUCGAACGGGGUCCAACCAGUCGCAAGACUGGGGAAGACUUAGUGGCGAACGGGUGAGUAACACGUGAGCAACCUGCCCCGAAGACCGGGAUAACAGCGGGAAACCGCUGCUAAUACCGGAUGCCCCCACCGGGCCGCAUGACCUGGUGAGGAAAUGGAUUCCGCUUCGGGAGGGACUCGCGGCCUAUCAGCUUGUUGGUGGGGUAAUGGCCUACCAAGGCGUCGACGGGUAGCUGGUCUGAGAGGACGAUCAGCCACACUGGGACUGAGACACGGCCCAGACUCCUACGGGAGGCAGCAGUGGGGAAUCUUGCGCAAUGGGCGAAAGCCUGACGCAGCAACGCCGCGUGAGGGACGAAGGCCUUCGGGUUGUAAACCGUCUUUCAGCAGGGACGAUUGUGACGGUACCUGCAGAAGAAGCCCGGCCAACUACGUGCCAGCAGCCGC